Molecule: long non-coding RNA, 200 nt
Organism: Dreissena polymorpha
Lineage: Eukaryota; Metazoa; Mollusca; Bivalvia; Myida; Dreissenidae
Exons: 3
Source: RefSeq, a predicted model, not a curated record
CGCCCUUCUGGAACAUGUGUUCCUUAACAUUUUAUUUUAAGAUAUUCUUUAAAUUGCGGCCUUAUAGUGCACACUUGAGGUUGACGCUAAGAAUGCACCAAAAUCCUCGUCUUGGGAGCUCUUUGUACCAAAAAUCUCUGCUCAACGAAAAGGCACAAGUGAGGUUGACGCUAAGAACGCACGAAAAUUGUCGUCUCAGG